This 484-nucleotide ribosomal RNA is filed under the name uncultured bacterium. RNAcentral describes it as "partial 16S ribosomal RNA". It matches the Rfam family "Bacterial small subunit ribosomal RNA", at positions 30 to 507 of the family's 1533-position model. The record is from RNAcentral.
AUUGAACGCUGGCGGCAGGCCUAACACAUGCAAGUCGAGCGGAUGAAGGGAGCUUGCUCCUGGAUUCAGCGGCGGACGGGUGGGUAAUGCCUAGGAAUCUGCCUGGUAGUGGGGGAUAACGUCCGGAAACGGGCGCUAAUACCGCAUACGUCCUGAGGGAGAAAGUGGGGGAUCUUCGGACCUCACGCUAUCAGAUGAGCCUAGGUCGGAUUAGCUAGUUGGUGGGGUAAAGGCCUACCAAGGCGACGAUCCGUAACUGGUCUGAGAGGAUGAUCAGCCACACUGGAACUGAGACACGGUCCAGACUCCUACGGGAGGCAGCAGUGGGGAAUAUUGGACAAUGGGCGAAAGCCUGAUCCAGCCAUGCCGCGUGUGUGAAGAAGGUCUUCGGAUUGUAAAGCACUUUAAGUUGGGAGGAAGGGCAGUAAGUUAAUACCUUGCUGUUUUGACGUUACCAACAGAAUAAGCACCGGCUAACUUCGUG